Molecule: ribosomal RNA, 489 nt
Filed under: uncultured bacterium
Lineage: Bacteria
Description: bacterial SSU rRNA
Rfam family: Bacterial small subunit ribosomal RNA
Source: RNAcentral
GAUGAACGCUGGCGGCGUGCUUAACACAUGCAAGUCGAGCGAAGCGCUUUGGUUAGAUUCUUCGGAUGAAGACCUUUGUGACUGAGCGGCGGACGGGUGAGUAACGCGUGGGUAACCUGCCUCAUACAGGGGGAUAACAGUUAGAAAUGACUGCUAAUACCGCAUAAGACCACGGAGUCGCAUGACUCAGUGGGAAAAACUCCGGUGGUAUGAGAUGGACCCGCGUCUGAUUAGGUAGUUGGUGGGGUAACGGCCUACCAAGCCGACGAUCAGUAGCCGACCUGAGAGGUUGAACGGCCACAUUGGGACUGAGAUACGGCCCAGACUCCUACGGGAGGCAGCAGUGGGGAAUAUUGGGCAAUGGGCGCAAGCCUGACCCCAGCAACGCCGCGUGAAGGGAAGAAGGCUUUCGGGUGUAAACUUCUUUUGUCAGGGAGAUGAACAGACUGUAACCUGACGAAUAAGCCACGGGCUAACUACGCGCCAAGC